UUUGAUUUGAUGGAUGCGAAUUGUAUUUAGAUCUAACUUGGGAUCGUGAGAGAGGGCCACAGAGUCACUACCUAACUCCUAAGCUCUACCUAACUAAUGCUUUUUCAGAAGGUACUUAACUUGAUCCAUUAGUGAAUCUUAAUUUGAGCAAAAAACAAGAUAGCAAUGAUGUCUUACCUGGGAAACACAUCGGUGCCUUUAAUUUGCAGAUAAAAAAGACAAGAUGCUCUCAGAAUCAAUUUCGGAUUGGUGUCAGAAGAGAAGAGAAUAAUAAGCAAGGAAGAAGGCACAGUUUCUUUUGCUUUGGUGUUGGAGGGGAUUUGUCCAAAAGCAUGCUUUUGCGAUAUCUCUCUGCACAAUUAACUUCGAAUGGGAACAAGACACGCACUCACCAUAUCCUCCCUGUUUUUCCGAUUAUUCAUUAUCUUAUUAUUAAUAUUUAUUAUUAUUUUCAUUGUGACAUCUAAUUCUAUUGCAGAAGUCAAUAUACAUCAAAGGUGUUUAUUUCGGUACAAUGAUAAAUUCAUACGUACCGAUACGUUAAGAACGUGGACAAAUAACAAAACGACACGUGGACUAUAUUUUCCACGUCAGCAUCUAAUCUUUUUUCAAAAAAUAUAUAUCAUAUCAAUACUUUUACUAAAAUACCCUUAUAAUUUAAUAAAAAUAAAAAUAUUUUUUUAAAUGUUAUGAAAAGGCUUAAAUAUCUUUUUUUAUGUUAAACAAAAACUACCCCUUUAAAUUAAUCAAAUUUGAAAAUUCAACUAAUUUUAAUCUUAU
Molecule: long non-coding RNA, 780 nt
Filed under: Arachis ipaensis
Lineage: Eukaryota; Viridiplantae; Streptophyta; Magnoliopsida; Fabales; Fabaceae
Description: long non-coding RNA (AIPA_LNC001966)
Source: RNAcentral